AUGCAUUUCUCUGCUGUUUCUCUCCCCGCUGAGUUUGGUUCCUCGUGGAGGACGGAUGGCAGACAUUUCACUCUGGGACCUGAUGCCUACGCAUCUGAAAGACUUCCCCAGGUGACUGGAUCUAAGAACCACCGUCUGCCUUUGAGUAGAAUUUCUACAUACAUAACAUUCACCGAUGGAUGGAACAUGGCCACAGCUCUAAAAUCGCAGGGAGCUUUAGCAGAAGAAAAUAGAAGAUCACAGCUGUCCCCGUGGACUAAGCUGGCAGAACCAAGUGGCGCAUGUUCAUCAUCAAGUCCAUGGGCGGCUACUGUGGCUACCUGGCCAACAUGGGCGGCUUGCGGCCGGAGCCGAUGCUGUAAACAUGUUCGAAGAGCCCUUCGGCAUCAGGGAUCUGCAGGUAUGUGACGGGGGCUGGCCUUGUGGGACCAUCCCCUUUGGAUCCUGUCGGUGCUGUGGAGUGAAACAUCGUGUCUAGGGUGGUUUGAUUUUCAAGGGGGCAUGGAGACGGAGGUGCUACAGAAAAUGCCAUGCUUGAUGCCCUUCGCAUCACCCAGGUGCGUCUCCCAAGUGUCAGGUGAUGGCGGACGUGCCUGGUUGAGGACACCUUCUAGUCUCGUGAGUGAAACACAAGCUUGUUUUUUUUGAUGUAGUAUGUUCUGUAGUUAAUGUUUUCUCACUUCUGUCACAAACAAUUUGAGUGCCUCUGCUGACAGUCACCACCCACGUCUGUGACUGUCUCUGAAGCUUGCUGCAGCGUUUUUAAAAUCUUGAGACCUCUGAUGCUGCAUCUGCCUCUAAACUGAGACAGACACGGCCGUGGUUUCUUGGCAUCUGUGGCUCUUUUAAGGAAGGGUGUCACUGACCCUGGGGUCUGCUUCUGCUUUGACGGCACAGCAGAAUCCUAGGCCUGGACCCUGCAGUGUUCAAAGUUGUUAAACUCCAUGCAGGAUGACAGGCCUUGGUAGAUAAAAUGCAACUUGAACAAUUGUCUUUAGUUAGUUAUAUAAAUAAAUAUAUAAUAUUAUAUAUUGCUCUGCA
This 1041-nucleotide long non-coding RNA is filed under the name Piliocolobus tephrosceles (Ugandan red Colobus). RNAcentral describes it as "lncRNA (ENSPTEG00000024898.1)". The record is from RNAcentral. Lineage: Eukaryota; Metazoa; Chordata; Mammalia; Primates; Cercopithecidae.